ACGAACGCUGGCGGCAUGCCUAACCCCUGCAAGUCGCACGCGACCUUCGGGUCUAGUGGCGCACGGGUGCGUAACGCGUGGGAACCUGCCCUUAGGUUCGGAAUAACUCCCCGAAAGGGGUGCUAAUACCGGAUAAUGUCUUCGGACCAAAGAUUUAUCGCCUUUGGAUGGGCCCGCGUUGGAUUAGCUAGUUGGUAGGGUAAAAGCCUACCAAGGCGACGAUCCAUAGCUGGUCUGAGAGGAUGAUCAGCCACACUGGGACUGAGACACGGCCCAGACUCCUACGGGAGGCAGCAGUGGGGAAUAUUGGACAAUGGGCGAAAGCCUGAUCCAGCAAUGCCGCGUGAGUGAUGAAGGCCUUAGGGUUGUAAAGCUCUUUUACCCGGGAUGAUAAUGACAGUACCGGGAGAAUAAGCGCCGGCUAACUCCGUG
RNAcentral lists this ribosomal RNA (432 nucleotides) under uncultured bacterium. RNAcentral describes it as "partial 16S ribosomal RNA". It matches the Rfam family "Bacterial small subunit ribosomal RNA", at positions 29 to 507 of the family's 1533-position model. The record is from RNAcentral.